CUUUUUGGUUGUAAAGUUCUUUUACGAGGGAUAAUUAUGAUAGUACUUCGUGAAUAAGUGACAGCAAACUAUGUGCCAGCAGCUGCGGUAAUACAUAGGUCGCGAGCAUUAUUCGGAUUUAUUGGGCGUAAAGCAAGCGCAGGCGGAUGUGUAAGUUCUGUGUUAAAUGCAGCUACUCAAUAGUUGUAUGCACCGAAUACUACAUGUCUAGAUUGUGGUAGGGAGUUUCGGAAUUAAGCAUGGAGCGGUGGAAUGUGUAGAUAUGCUUAAGAACACCAGAGGCGAAGGCGGAAACUUAGGCCAUAAAUGACGCUUAGGCUUGAAAGUGUGGGGAGCAAAUGGGAUUAGAUACCCCAGUAGUCCACACCGUAAACGAUGGGUAUUAGAUAUUAGGGCUUUAGCUUUAGUGUUGUAGCUUACGCGUUAAAUACCCCGCCUGGGUAGUACAUAUGCAAAUAUGAAACUCAAAGGAAUUGACGGGGAUCUGAACAAGUGGUGGAGCAUGUUGCUUAAUUCGAUAAUACACGAAAAACCUUACCAAGGUUUGACAUCCCUCGCAAAGCUAUAGAAAUAUAGU
RNAcentral lists this ribosomal RNA (577 nucleotides) under Mycoplasma haemofelis. RNAcentral's name for it is "bacterial SSU rRNA". It matches the Rfam family "Bacterial small subunit ribosomal RNA", at positions 415 to 1012 of the family's 1533-position model. Lineage: Bacteria; Bacillati; Mycoplasmatota; Mollicutes; Mycoplasmatales; Mycoplasmataceae. The record is from RNAcentral.